Molecule: long non-coding RNA, 268 nt
Filed under: Lathyrus oleraceus (garden pea)
Lineage: Eukaryota; Viridiplantae; Streptophyta; Magnoliopsida; Fabales; Fabaceae
Description: Pisum sativum (pea) long non-coding RNA (PSAT_LNC033204)
Source: RNAcentral
ACGGAUAAAGAUCCGAGGUAACAGCAAUUAAAGGAACGAUAAACCCUGAGAUCCUUCCAAGCUAACAUCAUCAAAGAAAGUGGGUCAGUACAGGUAAUCGGAAUGAACUUCCAGGGGGUAUCCCACAAAUAAAGUGGAAUACCAGACAAACCAUCUCUGCAAGAGUCAUAUGAGCCCUCACAAAACAAAACUCAACAAACAGGUUAGAGAAACAAAAUAGGGUAAUCAAGAGUUGCCCCCAAAUCAAAAUGUAACCACAUGAAUCAUG